Molecule: ribosomal RNA, 268 nt
Filed under: uncultured bacterium
Lineage: Bacteria
Description: partial 16S ribosomal RNA
Rfam family: Bacterial small subunit ribosomal RNA
Source: RNAcentral
CCGGCGACCGGCGCACGGGUGAGUAACACGUAUGUAACCUGCCCUAUGCAGGGGGAUAACCCGGAGAAAUCCGGCCUAAUACCGCGUAACACCUUUUGGGAGCAUUCCCGGGAGGUUAAAGGAGAGAUCCGGCAUAGGAUGGACAUGCGUCGCAUUAGGUAGACGGCGGGGUAACGGCCCACCAUGCCGACGAUGCGUAGGGGUUCUGAGAGGAAGGCCCCCCACACUGGUACUGAGACACGGACCAGACUCCUACGGAAGGCAGCAG